This 590-nucleotide ribosomal RNA is filed under the name uncultured bacterium. RNAcentral describes it as "partial 16S ribosomal RNA". It matches the Rfam family "Bacterial small subunit ribosomal RNA", at positions 355 to 937 of the family's 1533-position model. The record is from RNAcentral.
UGGGGAAUUUUGGACAAUGGGCGAAAGCCUGAUCCAGCAAUGCCGCGUGUGUGAAGAAGGCCUUCGGGUUGUAAAGCACUUUUGUCCGGAAAGAAAUCCUUGGCUCUAAUACAGUCGGGGGAUGACGGUACCGGAAGAAUAAGCACCGGCUAACUACGUGCCAGCAGCCGCGGUAAUACGUAGGGUGCAAGCGUUAAUCGGAAUUACUGGGCGUAAAGCGUGCGCAGGCGGUUUGCUAAGACCGAUGUGAAAUCCCCGGGCUCAACCUGGGAACUGUAUUGGUGACUGGCAGGCUAGAGUAUGGCAGAGGGGGGUAGAAUUCCACGUNUAGCAGUGAAAUGCGUAGAGAUGUGGAGGAAUACCGAUGGCGAAGGCAGCCCCCCUGGGCAAUACUGACGCUCAUGCACGAAAAGGCGUGGGGGAGCAAACAGGAUUAGAUACCCCUGGUAGUCCACGCCCUAAACGAUGUCAACUAGUUGUUGGGGAUUCAUUUUCCUUAGUAACGUAGCUAACGCGUGAAGUUGACCGCCUGGGGAGUACGGUCGCAAGAUUAAAACUCAAAUGGAAUUGACGGGGUCAUAGCUGUUUCC